This is a long non-coding RNA of Triticum aestivum (bread wheat), 1385 nucleotides long. RefSeq lists it as uncharacterized. NCBI's taxonomy places the organism in Eukaryota, Viridiplantae, Streptophyta, Magnoliopsida, Poales, Poaceae. The record is from RefSeq and is a predicted model, not a curated record. The transcript has 3 exons.
UGCUGCUGUGCACCUAUACGUGGCUCACGCCUGGCUCUUGCUGCCGUCCAGGACGACCUGCUUAGCCUGCUACUCGACUCCCUAGCAGCAGCUGAGGAGAGGUUCCAUGGGAACAAGCACCCAUGGUUGCUGCCUUCGUUAGCACCGUUCCUUUACUGCGGCCCUUUAGAUCCUUUGCUGAUCCAGCUCACAGAAGGGGCGUAUGGCGGCGAGGAAGCGGCGGCGCGCGCCUACGACCUGAGGGCAUUGAAGUACUGGGGCCACGACACCAUCCUCGACUUCCUAGUACCGCUUCCAAGCUACUCCUCAGUGUGUUGAUAUUAUUCAUUGACGCGGAGGCAUGCCUAGAACUUGCACAAUGCAGGCACACGUACCUGACUUCUUAAUUGGAUUUUGACGAACCUUUUGCAGCUGUCUAGCUACGACCAAGAGUUGAAGGAAAUGGAGGAGCAAUCCAGGGAAGAGUACAUCGGUUCGCUCCGGAGGAAAAGCACAUGCUUCUCAAGAGGGGGUGUCCAAGUACAGAGGAGUUGCAAGGUAGAGCUGAUCUUGCAAGAUUUGUUACUGAACAUAUUUGGAUUCUUGCAAGAAAAUCUUUGCACGUAUACAUGUCGGUGAAAUUCAGAGAUGUUUUUACAGACAUCACCACAACGGCAAAUGGGAGUCUAGGAUUGGGCGUGUGUUUGGCAAUAAGUAUCUCUACCUAGGUUCAGUUGUCCUUGAGCACCUGUUGCAUUCUUGACAUCUAAUUUCUAAAUUCUCAACUUCAUGGAAAUGAUGGUACUUUUCAGUUAAUUGUGCUGAUUAUGAAAUACCAAAAGUUAUUUUUCUUGCUAUAGGGUUACUAAAUGAGUAGCAGUAAUAUCCAUUGCGGAGAUGAUAUCCAUAUUUUAUUGUGUUGCUACUACUUUCCUUCAUUUUUCUAUCCUGCAUUUCCAAUAUACAUCAUACAUAAUACAUUUCCAGUCUCUAAAUCGGUAGACAGGAAAAAAUAGCUAAACAUGGUUGUGAAGUUUUGGCUGUUUUUUGGACUGAAGACAUAUAACAUAUGUUGUAGCUCUAAAUGCAUACUGUUCUCUUUCCUUGGCAAUGUUUGCAGAAUAUAUAUAUUGUAGAGACAGUAAUAUUUGUGCCUUGUGAGGAUAGGUCUGCUGUCAAGUGACAUCAUGCAACAUAGAUUUAGAACGAAGAGUAAGAUAUGUUUCUGUACAGCGACUACUGGAUCGAUAGUACAAAAUAAAUAGCUUGAAUGGAUUUAGCAUUAAGAACAAAAUAAGAUACGAAAAUUCUAAAGCUACCCUUCUUGUGGAUCGACUGAUAAAUCCAUGUAUAAUAUUUUGAGAAAGAGUUAAAUCCGUAUAUGCUGUUUGAGUGCCUUUUAAUUA